Molecule: ribosomal RNA, 468 nt
Filed under: uncultured bacterium
Lineage: Bacteria
Description: partial 16S ribosomal RNA
Rfam family: Bacterial small subunit ribosomal RNA
Source: RNAcentral
GACGAACGCUGGCGGCGUGCUUAACACAUGCAAGUCGAACGGAAAGGCCCUGCUUUUGUGGGGUGCUCGAGUGGCGAACGGGUGAGUAACACGUGAGUAACCUGCCCUUGACUUUGGGAUAACUUCAGGAAACUGGGGCUAAUACCGGAUAGGAUCUCCUGCUGCAUGGUGGGGGUUGGAAAGUUUCGGCGGUUGGGGAUGGACUCGCGGGUUAUCAGCUUGUUGGUGGGGUAGUGGCGUACCAAGGCUUUGACGGGUAGCCGGCCUGAGAGGGUGGCCGGCGACCAUGCGACUACGAGACGCAGCAGACUGGUACGGGAGGCAGCAGUGGGGAGUCUUGCACAAUGGCGGGACGUGUGAUGCAGAAACGUCGCGUGCGGGAUGACGGCCUAUGAGGUGAGAACAACUGUCGCCUGAGACGUAGCGUGAGUGACGGUAAUGGAUCAAGAAGCAACGGCUAACUACGUG